UACGAAGGGGGCUAGCGUUGCUCGGAAUCACUGGGCGUAAAGGGUGCGUAGGCGGGUCUUUAAGUCAGGGGUGAAAUCCUGGAGCUCAACUCCAGAACUGCCUUUGAUACUGAAGAUCUUGAGUUCGGGAGAGGUGAGUGGAACUGCGAGUGUAGAGGUGAAAUUCGUAGAUAUUCGCAAGAACACCAGUGGCGAAGGCGGCUCACUGGCCCGAUACUGACGCUGAUGCACGAAGGCGUGGGGAGCGAACAGG
RNAcentral lists this ribosomal RNA (253 nucleotides) under uncultured bacterium. Its description in RNAcentral is "partial 16S ribosomal RNA". It matches the Rfam family "Bacterial small subunit ribosomal RNA", at positions 524 to 776 of the family's 1533-position model. The record is from RNAcentral.